Molecule: long non-coding RNA, 254 nt
Filed under: Mytilus galloprovincialis (Mediterranean mussel)
Lineage: Eukaryota; Metazoa; Mollusca; Bivalvia; Mytilida; Mytilidae
Source: RNAcentral
AAAUAUAAAAUAACAAGAAUGUGUCCAAAGUACACGGAUGCCCCACUCGCACUAUCAUUUUCCAUGUUCAAUGGACCGUAAAAUUGGGUAACAAAUCUAAUUUGGCAUUAAAAUUAGAAAGAUUAUACCAUAGGGAACAUGUGUACUAAGUUUCAAGUUGAUUGGACUUCAACUUCAUCAAAAACUACCUUGACCAAAAACUUUAACCUGAAACUCACACUUUCAUUUUCUAUGUUCAGUGGACCGUGAAUUUG